Long non-coding RNA from Magnolia sinica, 664 nucleotides. RefSeq lists it as uncharacterized. Lineage: Eukaryota; Viridiplantae; Streptophyta; Magnoliopsida; Magnoliales; Magnoliaceae. The transcript is spliced from 5 exons. The record is from RefSeq and is a predicted model, not a curated record.
CAUGGAAAAAUGAAUAAAGAAACAAGAAGCUCCCAAAUCUUUACUUUUCUAGUAAAGUUAACUCACUUAAAUACCAAAAUCAUAUAAUCCCAUGCAAAACACUACAACAAUCUAGACAUGUUUGUUACUAACAUGUCUGGAUCUUUUUCUUGGAAGUGGAUCUACAUGUUGCAUAGCAAUUCAUUAAUGAAUCUAUUUCAAAGAAAAUUGGGUGCUUCUGCUUGUAAGCAAAUCACCUUGUCUAUCAAACUGGAGAAAAUAUAUUUGAUGUUGGUGUUCCAUCCUUUAGUAGGGAAUUUUUUUUGGGACAUUACAAUGAUAUGCUAAUGCCUUAAAGACCACUAUGACAAUGUUCCCUUGAGCUUCAGCUUCAAGAAUGAUUGCCUCGGAGAAUCGAAUGCUGGAAACUAAUUCAAAUGAUGUGAAGGCAAGAAAAAGCGGUGCCUUGAUCACCUGCAACAAGCAGAAAAUUAUUUUUCACUUUCCCAGUUACAGCAAGGGUAUGUCACAAGUACAACAUUUACACUUACAAUUGAAGCUAUGAAUCCGGGUGUGGUACCAAUGAGGAGAUUCUAUAUUUUUUAAUUUUAUUCUAUUUUUCCUAUUUGAACUAGGCUUGAAGAUUUUCCUUCAUUUAUCUUUCUAAAAUAGGUUUUCGUUUACA